This 253-nucleotide ribosomal RNA is filed under the name uncultured bacterium. RNAcentral's name for it is "partial 16S ribosomal RNA". It matches the Rfam family "Bacterial small subunit ribosomal RNA", at positions 524 to 776 of the family's 1533-position model. The record is from RNAcentral.
UACAGAGGGUGCAAGCGUUAAUCGGAUUUACUGGGCGUAAAGGGCGCGUAGGUGGUUAUUUAAGUGAGAUGUGAAAGCCCCGGGCUCAACCUGGGAACUGCAUCUUAUACUGGGUAACUGGAGUACAUGAGAGGGUAGUGGAAUUUCCGGUGUAGCGGUGAAAUGCGUAGAUAUCGGAAGGAACACCAGUGGCGAAGGCGGCUACCUGGCAUGAUACUGACACUGAGGCGCGAGAGCGUGGGGAGCAAACAGG